Molecule: long non-coding RNA, 423 nt
Organism: Vicia villosa (hairy vetch)
Lineage: Eukaryota; Viridiplantae; Streptophyta; Magnoliopsida; Fabales; Fabaceae
Exons: 3
Source: RefSeq, a predicted model, not a curated record
GAAAUAUGAUAUAUGAAAUAUGAUAUAUGAAAUAUACUAUGAAAUAUAUGGAAAAGAAACAGAAAAUAAUAAGUUACCAACAAUGCCCAGUUACAACGAACGUCAAACCGGAAAAGCGAUACUUCUCCUCUUAAAAGUGCUUAUCUAACGUGUUUUUCAAUCUCUUCCUCGACAAAAUCCAAUCCACUGCAGAGCAUGGUGAUUAAUGGAACAAGCGAAUGAGAAUGAAAUUAAGAGAAACGAAAGAUACAUGAAGAUGAUGCCGACGCAGAUUCAUGAUGGAAUUCGAUAACUCCACUACCUGGUGCUUGGCCACAGAAGCCUAGUUCUGCUACUUGCCCUUUCUUUGGAGUCGAGCCUGUCAUAGUGGAUGAGAAAGGUGUUGCGAUAGAAGGAGAGUCUAGUGGUUACUUGUGUGUUAAG